GGUUUACCUGUGUGACUGCGUACCUUUUGUAUAAUGGGUCAGCGACUUAUAUUCUGUAGCAAGGUUAACCGUAUAGGGGAGCCGGAGGGAAACCGAGUCUUAACCGGGCGUUAAGUUGCAGGGUAUAGACCCGAAACCCGGUGAUCUAGCCAUGGGCAGGUUGAAGGUUGGGUAACACUAACUGGAGGACCGAACCGACUAAUGUUGAAAAAUUAGCGGAUGACCUGUGGCUGGGGGUGAAAGGCCAAUCAAACCGGGAGAUAGCUGGUUCUCCCCGAAAGCUAUUUAGGUAGCGCCUCGUGAAUUCAUCUCCGGGGGUAGAGCACUGUUUCGGCUAGGGGGCCAUCCCGGCUUACCAACCCGAUGCAAACUGCGAAUACCGGAGAAUGUUAUCACGGGAGACACACGGCGGGUGCUAACGUCCGUCGUGAAGAGGGAAACAACCCAGACCGCCAGCUAAGGUCCCAAAGUCAUGGUUAAGUGGGAAACGAUGUGGGAAGGCCCAGACAGCCAGGAUGUUGGCUUAGAAGCAGCCAUCAUUUAAAGAAAGCGUAAUAGCUCACUGGUCGAGUCGGCCUGCGCGGAAGAUGUAACGGGGCUAAACCAU
RNAcentral lists this ribosomal RNA (607 nucleotides) under Salmonella enterica. RNAcentral describes it as "partial 23S ribosomal RNA". It matches the Rfam family "Bacterial large subunit ribosomal RNA", at positions 582 to 1190 of the family's 2925-position model. The record is from RNAcentral. RNAcentral also lists the same sequence under 2 other names. Lineage: Bacteria; Pseudomonadati; Pseudomonadota; Gammaproteobacteria; Enterobacterales; Enterobacteriaceae.